RNAcentral lists this ribosomal RNA (405 nucleotides) under uncultured bacterium. RNAcentral describes it as "partial 16S ribosomal RNA". It matches the Rfam family "Bacterial small subunit ribosomal RNA", at positions 28 to 526 of the family's 1533-position model. The record is from RNAcentral.
GACGAACGCUGGCGGCGUGCUUAACACAUGCAAGUCGAGCGGAGCGGCGAACGGGGGAGUAACGGGUGAGUAACUGCCCCCCUCUCUGGGAUAACAGUUGGAAACGGCUGCUAAUACCGGAUAGUGGGGGAUGACUCGCGUCCUAUGGGAUUGUUGGUGGGGUAGUGGCCUACCAAGGCGACGACGGGUAGCCGGCCUGAGAGGGCGACCGGCCACCAUGGGCUGAGAUACGGCCCAAGCUCCUACGGGGGGCAGCAGUGGGGAGUAUGACACAGUGGGGGAAACCCUGAGGCAGCAACGCCGCGUGCGGAAUGCCGGCCUUCGGGUUGUAAACCGCUUUCAGCCAUGACGCGGUAGUGGCAGAAGAAGCACCGGCUAACUACGUGCCAGCAGCCGCGGUAAUAC